AUUGUCUGGGGAGGGAUGUGGGGGCAGAGGGGCCCCGUUUCUCUCCAUCCUCUUCUUUGGCCUGACUGCCUUCCAUCUUUGGUCCCUUUUCCCCAUGUCCUGGCAUGGCCCCUCAGGGGAGAGGCUUAACCUCCUGCCACAGUUUACUCAUCUGCAGUGGGGACCUGAGCCCUGAACUGAACAGCGAGAGAGUGUUCUGCCCUGGGAGGAGCGAGGGCAGCCUCUUCUGGAGGUGGCUUAAGCAGCUGUGUGUCUAUCUUGGGUCUUGAAUACCAUGAGUAAUUGCCAGUGUUUAAUUGCCUACUUAUGUGUUGGGCAGUCUACGUGGACUAUCUUGUACCAUCGGUACCAUACUCCCAGGAGGCAGGUACUGUUAUUAUCACACCCAUUUUCCACAUGAGGAAACUGAGAUGCAAACGGUACUGCAGGAAGUAGCAGGGCUGGGAUUCAAGCAAAGGUUGCCUGGAUCCAAGCCUCCAGGUUCAUCACUGACCUCUUGUCUCCUGAAGAGGUCAGCCCCUGGGGAAUGAGAGGCUGCAUCUGUUUCACAGAUGAGUAAAUUAAGGCAUUUAGCAUCAAGGACCCCUGCUGGGAGGAAUUUUGACCUCCUCUGCUGCCAAGAACACAGCCCAUCUUUUAAAAUGGGUGGUUUAGGGGGCAGUGUCUGGGUCUGGGGUGCUGAGCCCUUUCCCCUUAUCCCCACAGCCAGGCUGGAUCCCAGGGAAAGAGAGCAGAAGAGGUCAGGCCCAAGCCCAGAGCUGCUCAGAAUGGGAUAUCCAUGUAGGUGGCCAUGGCGAUUUCUGGAUUUGGAAGCGACAACGCAUCUCAGGGGGUCCCGCUCAGUCCCUGGGGCGCCUACAGAGGCCAGCGGUGGGCAGCUCCUUCGACCUGGCCAGCCAUGCCUUCAUGGGGCCUGAGAACCUGGCCUUGGAUGUGGCCUCAGAAGAGCCUGCUGGUACCAGGCAUCCCCCAUCCCCAGGGUCUGCUCCUGGACAUGGGGAUCAGGGACCCUCAGGCUGUACCUGUCAGCAGUCCCCACCCACAGCCCCAGAGGUCCCUCUGAGGCCUGAGUUACCCAGCAACCUGGAAGACGCACCCCUGUUGCCCCACCCUGCAUCCUUCCCCAGGGCAGAGGGAACAAAGGGCAAGCCUGACACCCUAGGGACUGCCUUGCCAGAGCCUGCCCAGACCCUACACACAUGUCCCUCCUCCAGGAGGACCCGCUACUACAUCACUGUCACCCUGCUGGGGUACAGGCAAGUACCUGGGGAGGAGGGCGAAGAACCGGCCCAACCAGCUCCACACCCCUGCGGCCCUGAGGAAUCCGAGGGCUGGUGGGAGCCUCCUCAUGGGCCCCGCCCCAUCACAGGGUGCUGGACGACCCAGCCCCAGGAACCCCAGCUGAGAGCCCAAUCGCAUCAGGGGAGCAUGGCCCAGCGGCAGGAGCUCCAGGCUGGCUGGACACCUGGGUCCCCACACAGACUGGAGCUAGACCAUAGUGGGACAAGGACACCUCCAGACGGGUUACCAGGGCCCCACAUGGAGGAGGCAGGUGGGCCCACGGCCCGGGCCAAGGCCCGAGUGGUAAGUGCCACAUUGACAUGGCGGCAGCGGCCCCCUGCCCAGGAAGAGAUCAAACACCAUUUUCACAAGGUGUCCCUCGUGUCAGGGGCCCAGACAGAAGCCUCCCAGAAGGAGUUCAGCCACCGUGGAGAGGAAGUCAAUGGCUUUGCUACACAGGAAGCAGAGACUGUGAAUUACCAGGGCCCUUGGGAUGCAGCUGACUCCAAGAACUUCCAGAGCCACGGGCCCAUCUUUUCCAAGAAGUACAUACCACCUCCCAAGGAGAAAAGGCCUGAGGGGAGGCUAAAGGAAGCUGUGGAUCAGACUGAUGGCAGCCCCCAAGCUCCCAGGACUGAGUCCCCGCGUGUGGGAGCUAUGGCCAGGACUGAGCUUUUGGUUCCUCUGCCUGGGCCCCGAGAGCCAAGUCCCCACCCAAGCGUGGGUCUCACCUGUGGGAGCUCCCGGAGCCUCGAGGAACACCGUGUGACGCGCACUGUACGGACCACCACGGUGGUGGGAGGCCAUGUGGACCGGCGGGUGAGCAGCACUGUGACUGUGAAGCCAGUGUCCUCAGGCGAGGCCCUGCCACGAGGCCGUCAGGUCACCCGCAUGGUGCAGCCAGUGGUGCUGGGCUCCCCGCCAGGCUCACCCAGGCACAACCAGGCUGUGAAACUGCUAAGUAGACUUGUGCCUGCUGAGCACAGCCCCCCUGCCAGCCACCUGCCCAGGCCCACGGCUGGCAUGCCAAGGAGCCCAGGUCUGGGUGCCACAGUGGGGGCAGCCUGGAGGCAGCUGCCUGAGACUGGGACAGCAGAGCUUAAAGACAGCUCUGCCCUGGCUCCUUCAGGCAUCCCAGCUGGUGCUCACCUGCCCAAGAAUCAGGAUGUCCCUGCUGCCUGUCCAGACCAAGACCAGGGCAGAGUCCCAGAUGCCAGGGCCUGUGAGCCCCCGCGGGUGCUGGGAGCCCCCAGCUCCACUGAGCUUCCUCUCCAGACUUCUCAGGGUCAAGCAUCAGUCCCCUCCUUUCCCAGACUCCAGACCCAUGUCCCCUCUCCGGGCCUAGCUCACCCCGCAGAGCAGCCUGUGGUGCCCACUCACCCCAGGUCCCAGCUCAGUCCCCAUGUUCUGCCCCCUAUAAAAAGGGAAGGGCUCGUGGACCUCCCUGCUGCCACUGUCCUGCCCAUGGUGAGGAGCGAGCAUGUGACAGUCCCUGGACAACCCCUUGCUCCAUCCUCUACAGGAAGGAAGGCUGUCCCCAGCCCAGGAGGUCUUUCUGCUCCAUCGUCCCCAAGGAAUAAGUUUAUUCAGGACUCUGAUAAUGUUCCUGUCUUCCCCUUUACCCAGAAGGAGGUGGUGUGGGGCCCUGGUGCUCCAGCUGCCUCUUCCCCCAGUCGGAAAGAGGAAGUGAAGGACCCCGGUGCUCCUGCUGCCUCAUCCCCCACCCGGAAGGGGGACCCAGAUGCUCCUGCUGCCUCGUCCCCCAGCCGGAAAGAGGCAGUGAAAGGACC
Molecule: long non-coding RNA, 3071 nt
Filed under: Aotus nancymaae (Ma's night monkey)
Lineage: Eukaryota; Metazoa; Chordata; Mammalia; Primates; Aotidae
Description: lncRNA (ENSANAG00000039576.1)
Source: RNAcentral